This 1975-nucleotide long non-coding RNA is filed under the name Anas platyrhynchos (mallard). RNAcentral describes it as "lncRNA (ENSAPLG00020012915.1)". Lineage: Eukaryota; Metazoa; Chordata; Aves; Anseriformes; Anatidae. The record is from RNAcentral.
CAAAAUUUCAGAUGUUCCUCCUAAGCUGUCUGAUAAAUGCUUUCCUGAUGAUCCUGCAGUUGUUGCACAUUUUUUGGUCCUAUCUAAUCCUCCAGAUGGUCUUUGGUGUCAUCCUCCACGGUGCGAAAAGAAAAGACGCAAGAAGUGACACCGAGGAAAGUGACAGGAGUGAAGCAGAAGAUCUGGCAAAGAGCAAAGAGUAAUGUGGGGCUCAUUGCAAAAUACAAAAGCCAGACAGACUCUCAAAAGCAGGAAGGCAGAACAGGACCACGGAGGGAGAGACCAGACAGGCUCACAGAUCCCUUUGCAGCGGUAUAUCUGAGGCAUCAUCCAACAUCUAGAAGAAAGAAAAUUUCAUCAUAGAGUUUCCAGGCAACAAGUAACUUCAGGAGAUGUUUUCUUCACCUCUCCUGUUGGGAACAUCACUUUACUAACACUCUAUCCAGAAAAAAAAAUUGUCAAUCAGCCACACUCUCACUAAAAACAGGGUAAGAGGGAUUAAACAAUCUGCUGAAGUUAUAACACUUAGCUGUGGUUAUCUCAAAACCUUCCAAAAGGUUCAUAAAAUAAUCAAUUACAACUGCUGAACAUUUAUCUGAACCACAAUUUCAGAAUAUGUUGGCAGUCAGUGCUAACCACCUUAUGAAAAAAAGUUGCAUGUAAAAACCACUUGUUUUAACUGCCAAAUAAGCUUCUAGUUGUAGAGUCCAAAACUGUCAGGUUUGGGGGCAAGGAUAGACCAUUUCCACACAUAAAGCCUGGCCAAGUGAGACAAGCUGUAGUUUGCUGCGUGAAUUAUACAAAAUAGCUCAUGCAUCUAAAAGGUUUUGCUAACUGAAUGUGUACUUAGAGAAAAUGGUCAUAAAAUGGUCAUUGAAAGCAACUGAAAUUCUUCUGAAGGCACACUUUUCUACUAGUCUAAAUGGAAACUUUCCAUAGGGAUGUAUUAAUGUUGUUGAGGUUUCAUUUUUAAAAUCUGAAAAUAAGUGCUACAAUGCAAACAUUUUAAUGGGAUAUUUUAAGGGUUUUCUCUAUUUUGGAUGACUAUUCACUUUGUAAUAUAUUGUAUCUGAUGUCAUUUUCAGAAUUUAUAGUAUAACAUUGGAUUUAAAGUUUAUGUAGAAAUGAAUUAUUACACCUAAACAAGCCCAUUUUACCUUGAUUUUGCAUGAUGCAGAUUUUUUUAUCAUCAUUUUUUGAAAUAUCAAUAAUGUCAGCUCUUGUGUCAAUCAGCAAAUCUUUGAAACCUGCUAGAGGUCUGAUAUCACUGAUAAUUCAAAGGCCCAAAAACUACAGACAGACAAUAUAUCAUCAUAUACGUUUGUCUACAAGCAAUAUAUAGAAACCUACAAAUGCUGUCCUUAAAAGCUGUUUUCUACAUAGGCUUUGAAUAUGCUUCUAAGGGGUCUGAUAUAUUUUGCAUAAACAUUAGGGAAAAUUAAACCAUUUUAGAGAACUGCAAAGAGGUGGGGAAUGAAGGAUGGUGUCCCCAGAACACUUUAUCAUUAAGAACCGUGGUCUACCUCCCAGAUCUGACCCAUCAAAGAAAAACAUAAACAAUUCAGGAAAGAUAUGUGAGAGAAAGGCAGAAGGAACUGGAGCCAACAUGCUCUUGUCCUGCUGUUUCCUACAGCAGUGCUAAAUCCUUAGUCCUGCCCAUCAAUCCCCUCUUCUUCAUAAGCGAUCUUUAAUUCAGGGUAUAUGCAGGUCAUAUACUCCUACAUAUUUUUUUUUUAUUUUUUUAUAUCUGAUGCCAUGACUUUCCUGUCUCUCCCAACUGUUCAAAGGACAGAAAACUAGAGAAGUUAGAGGACACAGCAGCCUUUUGUGUAACAUCAACGCUGAGGCAUUUGUGUACUCGUGUGUACACUGACCACUAUUUCCAGUAACAACCUGCAAACUACAUGUAGUUGCAAAGGUUUCACUGGCUUUUGCUUCAAGAUAAUUGCCAAGUAGAAAACAGAACAGCUAGGAA